GUCUGAUCUUCCUCCUUCAUAUUAUUGUCUUCGACCUCCAUGACGAAGGUUUUCUUUUCGUUAUUUUUAUACUUCGCAAAUUAUUUUCCUUUAUAUGUCUUUAUUUUCCUUGUUUUUACGAGAUCUUGAAAGCUUAAGUGACCCUUUUUAAUUUCUUGUUUAUUUUAACUUGUUAUAGAUCAUACAAAUUUGUUGCUAUAGUUUGAUUGCUUGCAACCUUAUUAAUAUAUAUUUCAAUAUGUUUAAUCUUGUUAAAUUUGAUACCCUUAACUUGAGAUCUGAAACAAGCUUUAUUAAGGAACUUACCAAUACCUUCGUGUGUCCGAAUUUUGCCAAUAACAUUUGUUCAUUUCAUCGAUUUGUAGAGUCGAUAGACGACGUCACUUAUGUCGUUUAUUAUACCAAUAGAUGUUCAUGUUGCUCUUUAAUCAAUUUAUGGUUUAGCAAGUAGGCUAGAAAUUCAUUCUCUUUCAAGAAUUCACUUGUGUCCUUGUUUUCAUGUCUGUUAAUUACGUCUGUAAAUAAAUCCUCAUUAAUAUGAAUUAAUAAGUAAGUAUGAACUUACUUACCUACUCUAACUUCGGAUGGCUAUAUUGCUUCUUUAAUUUUCAAAUUUGUAUUUAUUUUCUUUUGCUUAGUACUUAGUCUCACAUUAACAGCUGUUGGAUAUUCCUCGCUGGUCCGGUCGCAAAGUCAACUUUGUUUAUAAUU
Long non-coding RNA from Cydia splendana, 711 nucleotides. RefSeq lists it as uncharacterized. The transcript is spliced from 2 exons. Lineage: Eukaryota; Metazoa; Arthropoda; Insecta; Lepidoptera; Tortricidae. The record is from RefSeq and is a predicted model, not a curated record.